RNAcentral lists this ribosomal RNA (573 nucleotides) under Dehalococcoidia bacterium. Its description in RNAcentral is "partial 23S ribosomal RNA". It matches the Rfam family "Bacterial large subunit ribosomal RNA", at positions 1 to 536 of the family's 2925-position model. The record is from RNAcentral. Lineage: Bacteria; Bacillati; Chloroflexota; Dehalococcoidia.
GGUCAAGCUACUAAGGGCGCACGGGGGAUGCCUUGGCGCCAAGAGCCGAUGAAGGGCGCGGCGAGACUGCGAAAAGCCUCGGUGAGCUGUCGGGCAAGCUGAACCGGGGAUUCCCGAAUGGGGCAACCCACCCAGGUAAAACCUGGGUACUCACAGCUGAACACAUAGGCUGUGGAGAGGCAAGCGGGGGAACUGAAACAUCUAAGUACCCCGAGGAAAAGAGAUUAUUCCCUGAGUAGUGGCGAACGAAAGGGGAAAAGCCUAAACCCUGGUAACUAAGUGGACUCGGAUCCUAAGUUGCCGGGGGGUUGUAAGACAUGGUCUGGAAAGGGUUCGAGACCUUUCCGGGAGUUACAAACCGUAACCCUAGCUGAAAGUCUCUGGAACGAGCUACCGAAGAGGGUGAGAGUCCUGUAAGCAAAAGGGGAAGGCUCCCGGCCAUGAUCUUGAGUACCACGGGACACGUGGAAUCCUGUGGGAAGCAGGGGUGACCACACCCCAAGGCUAAAUACUCUUGGCGACCGAUAGUGAACAAGUACCGUGAGGGAAAGGUGAAAAGAACCCCGGGAGGGG